GACGAACGCUGGCGGCGUGCCUAAUACAUGCAAGUAGAACGCUGAAGGAGGAGCUUGCUUCUCCGGAUGAGUUGCGAACGGGUGAGUAACGCGUAGGUAACCUGCCUGGUAGCGGGGGAUAACUAUUGGAAACGAUAGCUAAUACCGCAUAACAGUAGAUAUCGCAUGAUAUCUGCUUGAAAGGUGCAAUUGCAUCACUACCAGAUGGACCUGCGUUGUAUUAGCUAGUUGGUGAGGUAACGGCUCACCAAGGCGACGAUACAUAGCCGACCUGAGAGGGUGAUCGGCCACACUGGGACUGAGACACGGCCCAGACUCCUACGGGAGGCAGCAGUAGGGAAUCUUCGGCAAUGGACGGAAGUCUGACCGAGCAACGCCGCGUGAGUGAAGAAGGUUUUCGGAUCGUAAAGCUCUGUUGUAAGAGAAGAACGAGUGUGAGAGUGGAAAGUUCACACUGUGACGGUAUCUUACCAGAAAGGGACGGCUAACUACGUG
This 495-nucleotide ribosomal RNA is filed under the name uncultured bacterium. RNAcentral's name for it is "partial 16S ribosomal RNA". It matches the Rfam family "Bacterial small subunit ribosomal RNA", at positions 28 to 507 of the family's 1533-position model. The record is from RNAcentral.